UACGUAGGGUGCAAGCGUUAAUCGGAAUUACUGGGCGUAAAGCGUGCGCAGGCGGUGAUGUAAGACAGGUGUGAAAUCUCGGGGCUUAACUCCGAAACUGCAUUCGAUACUGCCGUGCUUGAGGACUGGAGAGGAGACUGGAAUUUACGGUGUAGCGGUGAAAUGCGUAGAUAUCGUAAGGAAGACCAGUGGCGAAGGCGGGUCUCUGGACAGUUCCUGACGCUGAGGCACGAAGGCCAGGGGAGCAAACGGG
RNAcentral lists this ribosomal RNA (253 nucleotides) under uncultured bacterium. Its description in RNAcentral is "partial 16S ribosomal RNA". It matches the Rfam family "Bacterial small subunit ribosomal RNA", at positions 524 to 776 of the family's 1533-position model. The record is from RNAcentral.